GGAAAGGGCAGGAGCCGGACCAAGGUGAGGACAGCGGAACUGAAGGCCGCUGGUUACCUCUCCUGCCCUCUGCUGGCCACAGUGGAGAAGACAGCCCCUCCCUCCUGCUCUGACCUGACAGUGUUCAUCCAUCGCCCUGUAUUAGCGAAGAACAACAUCAAGCUGGCUAGCAAGGAACUGUAUACAGGGUCCAGCUGGGUAUCACACUGGAUCUCACCCAAAGCUGAGAUGUGAUCCAGCUCCGUAUCACAAAGCAGAACGAAAAGGAUGUGUUUGGGCUGAGAGGCCAUACAUUGGCUCCGGCACGACGGGUGGCUUCUGCAGCACACAGGGCUUCGCCAGCACCCAGCUCCUGCAGCAUGGGCAGCUCCUGUGACAGCAGGCGCCCACAGCCUGCAAAGCGUCUCCAGUGCCGCCGCCUCAGUGAACCGCAACCAGCGGCACCUAGCAGCUUUCUCCGCCACCCUCUUCAGGUAGUUCUGUAGCAGCGCGUUUCUCAUGAGACACUUCCCUGUGAGCAGCUUUUUCUACCCUUGAGGAUGGAUUUCCAGCAAAUUCUGCCCAUGUGGUACCACAGCCACUUCUCUGCCAUUCAGUGAAACUGCCGUUGUGCCCUCUUCAAGGUCUGGAUCUAAGCCCAGGGACCAGGAAACCUCUUGCUUGAGUGCUGGAACUCAGGCCAGAAGGUAUGGCUGCUGCUAUGUGCUGUGACCAGAGAAUCAGAGUUCUCUUUACUUCUUACCAGCCAACCUCUUGAAAAUGCCUUUUUGUUUUUUGUUUUUUUUGAGACGGAGUCUCGCUCUGUUGCCCAGGCUGGAGUGCAGUGGCUCACUGCAACCUCCGCCUCCUGAGUUCAAGUGAUUCCCCUGCCUCAGCCUCACGAGUAGGUGGGAUUACAGGCAUGUGCCACCACGCCCAGCUAAUUUUGUAUUUUUCGUAGUGACGGGGUUUCUCCAUGUUGGUCAGGUUGGUCUCAAACUCUCGACCUCAGGUGAUCAACCUGUCUCAGCCUCCCAAAGUGCUGGGAUUACAGACGUUAGCUACAGCGCCCAGUCUAAGCCCUUUAUAGUUUAAUUCUAUAUAUUAAAUUUUCCCAGUUCAAA
RNAcentral lists this non-coding RNA (1103 nucleotides) under Pan troglodytes (chimpanzee). The record is from RNAcentral. Lineage: Eukaryota; Metazoa; Chordata; Mammalia; Primates; Hominidae.